CCCACCGCCCACCACUCAGAAACUCCAGGUUCAGUAGGUCCAGAAUUGAGACUGUGAAAGCUGCAUUUUAAAAAACAAUUCCAAAGUGAUUGCCAUGAAGGUAUUCUAUGAACUGUACUCUAGGCUUUGAGAAACUCUGCCCAGGUAGAGUGCUCAGGGCAUCUGCUGGGAGCUGGCAGAGGCCACCCCACCCCAGUUCUACACGAAUCAAGUCAUUGCCCCUGUGGUCACUGACCUAUAGUAAUCAUGAAAAGAAAUUAGGAAUAAGAUAAGGAUGAGGCAAUUUGUGCUCUAGGGAAAACUAGUCCUUCGAUAGUUAUCAAUAUUAUCAUGUUUUGUUUUUUUGGCUGCACUGUGCAAAAAACAGGCGAAAUGAGUCCUUAGAGAGUUAACAAUAUUAUCAUUUUUUUUGGCUGCACCAUGAGUCGUGUGGAAUCUUAGUUCCCCAUCCAGGGAUCGAACCCCUGCCCUCUUCAUUGGGAGCACAGCGUCUUAACCCCCAGACCACCAGGGAAGCCUCAAUAUUAUAACAUUAUCAAGAGAAAUUUUUUAUGAGUUUGGGUUCUUACAUCUUCUCAUACUAAAAUCAUGAACAGAGAAACCCAUUGCUGGUGACCAGGAGCAAACUUCUACCAAAAUGUGCGCUUGAGUGUCGGUACCCCCCUCACCUAAAUCCCACAUACACCGACCUCCCCAGGCCCUCGGCCACUUCAGAGCAGUUCCUCAGCGAUUUCUGAGAGGCCGUCUCCCAGGGUCAGGUCUUCAGGAAGCCCCCAGAUAAAGCGGAAACUCACAGCUCUCUGGUUGUGCUUCUUUUGUUUUUCAGUCAGCAGCCUUGGUGACCGUGAAGGAGCACAGAGAUGGCUUCUCUCCUUGGCCUGAACUCGGUGAGGAUCUGGAGCCUUGAAAGUACAUGCCCGUCCUCAGCCAGUCCAGACAAAUUGGGGUCUCCACUCAUGACUUUUAAGCUUCAACCUGCUGGUCUGCCUCUCACUGUCUCUGCACACUCCAAAGAAAGGCUACGGCCAAAGGCCCGAAUUUGCUGGCUUCGCUGGGACCAGACUGGUUAUCCAUUUUAAAUAAAGUAGUAUGUGUAUGUCUAUCUCAAACUUCCCAACUAUCCCUUCCCCUAACCUUCCCCUCUGGUAUCCAUAAGAGUGUUUUUGUUUUGUUUGGAAAAACACCCAGGAGUGGAAUUGCUGGAAGUGAUGUGUUAGUCACUCAGUCAUAUCAGACCCAUGAACUGUAGCCCUCCAAGGCUCCUCUGUCCAUAGGAUUCUCCAGGGAAGAAUACUGGAGUGGGUUGCCCUUUCCCUCCUCCAGGGGAUCUUCCCAACCUAGGGACUGAACCCUGAUCUCCCGCAUUGCAAGCAGAUUCUUUACCAUUUGAACCACCAGGGAAGCCCAUGGAAUUGCUGGGUUGUAUGGUAAGAAGUUCUAUUUUCAGUUUUUUGAUGAAAUUCCAUACAGUUUCUGCACCAAGUUACAUUCCCAUUGUCAGUGUGCAAGGGUUCCCUUUUCUCCACAUCCUCACUCAUAUUUGUUAUUUACAGUUUUUUUUGAUGAUACCCAUCUAGGUGUCAGGUGGUAUCUUGUGGUUUUGACUUGCUUUUCUCUGAAAAUUAGUAAUGUUGAGCAUCUGUUUCUGUGUCUGUUGGCCAUCUGUAUGUCUUCUUUGGAAAAAGUGUUUAUUUAGGUCUUCUAUCCAUUUUUAAAUUGAGUCCUUUUUUUUGAUACUGAGUUGGAUGAGCAUAUAUAUUGGAUGAAUAUAUAUAUAUAUAUAUAUAUAGGAUGUUAACCCUUCAUGAGUCAUAUCAUAUCUAUUUUCUCCCAUUCAGUAAGUUGUAUUUUAGUUUUGUUGAUGGUUUCCUUUGUUGUGUAAAACCUUCUUUAAUUAAUUGAUUUUUUAAUUGAAGAAUAAUUGCUUUACAGAAUUGUGUCGGUUUCUGCCAAACAUCAACAUGAAUCAGCCGUAAGUAUACAUAUGUCCCCUUGCUAUAUGCAAAAACUUUUGAAUCUAACUAGAUGUCAUGAAUCUUUGCUUUUGUUUCCUUUGCUUUAGGAGACAGAUCCAAAA
This is a long non-coding RNA of Bos indicus x Bos taurus (hybrid cattle), 2077 nucleotides long. Lineage: Eukaryota; Metazoa; Chordata; Mammalia; Artiodactyla; Bovidae. The record is from Ensembl.